UACGUAGGGGGCAAGCGUUGUCCGGAUUCAUUGGGCGUAAAGAGCUCGUAGGCGGUUCGGCAAGUCGGGUGUGAAAACUCCAGGCUCAACCUGGAGACGCCACCCGAUACUGCUGUGACUUGAGUCCGGUAGGGGACCACGGAAUUCCUGGUGUAGCGGUGAAAUGCGCAGAUAUCAGGAGGAACACCGGUGGCGAAGGCGGUUCUCUGGGCAUUACCUGACGCUGAGGAGCGAAAGUGUGGGGAGCGAACAGG
This 254-nucleotide ribosomal RNA is filed under the name uncultured bacterium. RNAcentral's name for it is "partial 16S ribosomal RNA". It matches the Rfam family "Bacterial small subunit ribosomal RNA", at positions 524 to 776 of the family's 1533-position model. The record is from RNAcentral.